RNAcentral lists this transfer RNA (73 nucleotides) under Helianthus annuus (common sunflower). RNAcentral describes it as "tRNA HanXRQr2_Chr14g0647171". The record is from RNAcentral. Lineage: Eukaryota; Viridiplantae; Streptophyta; Magnoliopsida; Asterales; Asteraceae.
GGAGUCCCAGCUCAGCUGGUUAAUGCGUGGGUCUGUGGAACCACUGACCCGGGUUCGAGUCCCGUGGCCAGCG